AGGAGGAACAGCCCCAGUGGCGGGGCCAGCUCUGCAGCCCUGGAGUCAGCUCCCACAGUAGCUCCAGAGCUCUCCGUCUGCAGGGCCUGGAUGCUCCGGGGCGGG
Molecule: microRNA precursor, 105 nt
Filed under: Canis lupus dingo (dingo)
Lineage: Eukaryota; Metazoa; Chordata; Mammalia; Carnivora; Canidae
Description: mir-8834 microRNA precursor family
Rfam family: mir-8834 microRNA precursor family
Source: Rfam by way of RNAcentral